RNAcentral lists this ribosomal RNA (908 nucleotides) under Amanita griseoumbonata. Its description in RNAcentral is "eukaryotic LSU rRNA". It matches the Rfam family "Eukaryotic large subunit ribosomal RNA", at positions 65 to 937 of the family's 3401-position model. The record is from RNAcentral. Lineage: Eukaryota; Fungi; Basidiomycota; Agaricomycetes; Agaricales; Amanitaceae.
CUAACAAGGAUUCCCCUAGUAACUGCGAGUGAAGCGGGAAAAGCUCAAAUUUGAAAUCUGGCAGUCUUUUUUUUCUUCUUUGGCUGUCCGAGUUGUAAUCUAGAGAAGUGCUUACCUGCGCUGGACCAUGUAUAAGUCUCCUGGAAUGGAGCGUCACAGAGGGUGAGAAUCCCGUCUUUGACAUGGACUGCCAGUGUGUUGUGGUGUGCUCUCAAAGAGUCGAGUUGUUUGGGAAUGCAGCUCUAAAUGGGUGGUAAACUCCAUCUAAAGCUAAAUAUUGGCGAGAGACCGAUAGUGAACAAGUACCGUGAGGGAAAGAUGAAAAGGACUUUGGAAAGAGAGUUAAACAGUAUGUGAAAUUGUUGAAAGGGAAACGCUUGAAGUCAGUUAUGUUGGCUAGGGAUCAACCUAGCUGUUUUUUGCUGGGUGAAUUUCCUAGUCUGACAGGCCAACAUCAGUCUUGACUGCUGGAAAAGAGCAGGGGGAAUGUGGCACCUUUGGGUGUGUUAUAGCCCUUCGUCAUAUGUGGCAGUCGGGACUGAGGGAUGCAGCAUGCCGCGAGGCUGGGUUUCUGACCACGUUCAUGCUUAGGAUGUUGGCUUUUAAUGGCUUCAAUCGACCCGUCUUGAAACACGGACCAAGGAGUCUAACAUGCCUGCGAGUGUUUGGGUGGGGAAAACCCUUGUGCACAAUGAAAGUGAAAGUUGAGAUCCCUGUCAUGGGGAGCAUCGACGCCCGGACCUGAGCUUUUAGCGACGGAUCCGCGGUAGAGCAUGCAUGUUGGGACCCGAAAGAUGGUGAACUAUGCCUGAAUAGGGCAAAGCCAGAGGAAACUCUGGUGGAGGCUCGUAGCGAUUCUGACGUGCAAAUCGAUCGUCAAAUUUGGGUAUAGGGGCGAAAGACAAUCG